AGUAAUGCCUAGGAAAUUGCCCUGAUGUGGGGGAUAACCAUUGGAAACGAUGGCUAAUACCGCAUGAUGCCUACGGGCCAAAGAGGGGGACCUUCGGGCCUCUCGCGUCAGGAUAUGCCUAGGUGGGAUUAGCUAGUUGGUGAGGUAAGGGCUCACCAAGGCAACGAUCCCUAGCUGGUCUGAGAGGAUGAUCAGCCACACUGGAACUGAGACACGGUCCAGACUCCUACGGGAGGCAGCAGUGGGGAAUAUUGCACAAUGGGCGCAAGCCUGAUGCAGCCAUGCCGCGUGUAUGAAGAAGGCCUUCGGGUUGUAAAGUACUUUCAGUCGUGAGGAAGGCGGUGUCGUUAAUAGCGGCAUCGUUUGACGUUAGCGACAGAAGAAGCACCGGCUAACUCCGUGCCAGCAGCCGCGGUAAUACGGAGGGUGCGAGCGUUAAUCGGAAUUACUGGGCGUAAAGCGCAUGCAGGUGGUUUGUUAAGUCAGAUGUGAAAGCCCGGGGCUCAACCUCGGAAUAGCAUUUGAAACUGGCAGACUAGAGUACUGUAGAGGGGGGUAGAAUUUCAGGUGUAGCGGUGAAAUGCGUAGAGAUCUGAAGGAAUACCGGUGGCGAAGGCGGCCCCCUGGACAGAUACUGACCCUCACAUGCGAAAGCGUGGGGAGCAACAGGAUUACAUACCCUGGUCGUCCACGCCGUAAACGAUGU
This 706-nucleotide ribosomal RNA is filed under the name Vibrio sp. 21Z1. RNAcentral describes it as "bacterial SSU rRNA". It matches the Rfam family "Bacterial small subunit ribosomal RNA", at positions 109 to 812 of the family's 1533-position model. The record is from RNAcentral. Lineage: Bacteria; Pseudomonadati; Pseudomonadota; Gammaproteobacteria; Vibrionales; Vibrionaceae.